UGAAAAGGUUUUUCUUUUAACAUCGCUGACUAGCAUCAAGGAUUCGUUUUCCGCGAGUGCAACUAUACAUUAUUAAACGAAGCUGCUUAAGUACAACAAUUGAAUAACGGCUAAUUCAAAAUGUCAGCCAAUGGUAACAACGGAAAUAAUGAUAGUAAUGAGGCCACGCCACCGGCCCCAUUGCCAUCAGUUAGAUUAGAUAUUGCCGACCGAAUGAAACGUUGGCAUGGCAAGGUUGCAGUCGUAACAGGCGCCAGCGGUGCAAUUGGUGGUGCCAUAGCGAUAGAACUCGUCAAAGCGGGAAUGAUCGUAUGUGCACUGUCAAGACGGCGUGACAAGGUGGAAAAACUACGUGUUAGCCUGUUUGACGUGGCCGGUACGCUGAAUUACGUUGAGUGUGAUAUUACUGUGGAGGACGACAUUAAGUAUGCGUUUGGAUGGAUUGAAAACACGUACGGUGGGGUAGAUAUGCUGGUGAAUAACGCUGGGAUCAUCACAAAAUGCUUGCUAACAGAGAAAAACAAUACAAGGGAUCUUUAUAAGACGAUGGAAACGAACAUCAUUGGAUUAUCCCUGUGCACAAGGGAAGCCGUCAAAUCGAUGAAAGCCCGCGAUGUGAAGGGUCACAUAAUUAACGUAAACAGCAUAUUUGGUCAUAAAGUGCACCAAGCCGUUCCAGGAACGCGUCCAUUAAAUGGAAUGUACCCGGCAUCGAAAUAUGCAGUCACGGCCAUUACAGAAUGCAUUAGACAAGAGCUUGUUUACUUAGGCACUGGUUGUAAAGUUACGAGUAUCAGUCCUGGCUUAGUGGAAGGUGACAUUCUAUCCGCAAACACCUCGAAGGACAAUGACAUUGUGAACUACAUGCCAAAAUUAAAGCCUGAAGAUGUGGCCGAAGCAGUACUUUAUGCUAUCACUACACCAGAAAAUGUGCAAAUUCACGAGCUGAUUAUCAAGCCGAUGGGCGAAUUCCUGUAAACAAUCAUCUAAAUACCAUAAAUACAGACCGAUUCAAUAGUCUGAAUUGUAUUUCAAUGUAAUUUAUUCAGCCAAAUCUAAUACACGGGCUAAUACAGAAGUGAAAAAUUACUAGCCUAUUCAGCAAGGAUUAUAUGGCGUUAUGAAAUGUUAUUAAAAAGAGCUGGUUAUACGACUGAUCGCUAUAUAAUACAAUCGCUGUCCAUCUAAACCACUGUUACUACCAUCCAACUAAAACCAUCCUUUUUAUUACAUGGUUUUGUGUUAUUUUCCACACAUUACGAGAUCUCGGCUGUGAUAUCUACUAGUGUUGGGAAAUCCGCAGAGUGUAUGACUGAAAAAUAAGUCAUGAAAUUGCAUUUCUCAGCAACGAUCUCGUGUAUAGUGUGAAGAUUAUAGUUUUUUUUCUUAAGUUAUAAUGCUUUCAAAUAAACUAAUUCGCAUAAAAAAUAACCAUCCAGCAGCAAAAAACGGUUGACAAUACUU
This is an RNA transcript of Anopheles moucheti, 1464 nucleotides long. It is a transcript of the gene named farnesol dehydrogenase-like, with no coding region annotated. NCBI's taxonomy places the organism in Eukaryota, Metazoa, Arthropoda, Insecta, Diptera, Culicidae. The transcript has 5 exons. The record is from RefSeq and is a predicted model, not a curated record.